This is an RNA transcript of Camelus dromedarius (Arabian camel), 1509 nucleotides long. It is a transcript of the gene named magnesium dependent phosphatase 1, with no coding region annotated. The record is from RefSeq and is a predicted model, not a curated record. Lineage: Eukaryota; Metazoa; Chordata; Mammalia; Artiodactyla; Camelidae. The transcript is spliced from 8 exons.
CUAAGAAAGCCUACUCUCUGACUGACUCCAGAGCUAACUGUUGGCCUUUCUUCUCAACCCCAUAUUAAGUGACUUCAUGUUGGUAGCUUAAAAUUGGCCAUGGUAGAAAUAUAAGUCAACAAACAGUACAGAUCAGUCCUUCUCCCCAAAUUGGCUGUUACAUACCUAUCAGCAUACUACUGACAUGGAUGGUAGAAACUAGGGGAGUGAAUUCUCUCCCAUUGUGACCCUACUGGGCAGUUGAGCCUGGUUCAAGAAAGGCCGCAAGGACUUUGCAGGCACUACAUUCUUUUAUGGCUGGAAUAUUGCUGAGGGCUCUGGGUUCUAUACUUUGGUGGAGAGGCUGAUAAGGAGAAAGGUGGAGUGAGGAGUGACAAGCUAUGAUGGGUCACUUUAGGUCUCAGUUGGUGAGAUAAAAUGAGAGGCCGGUGCCAGAAGAAAGGCCUUCCCUUCCUUGGCUUCUCUAGUUCAGUAGUAGCUGGUCAGGCCAGGCAGGGUGGAGAAGUAAGGGAAGAUCGCUUGGAGAGAUUUGAGGACCGCUGUGGUUCUGUGAGCGGUCCUUCCCCUCUCCACCACCAGAAGGCGCUCUUGCGCGGUCUCCAGAACCAUCGCUCCAAUCCCACUUGGCGACGCUCUAGUCGCUGCUUCUCUAAGGACGGCGGGGCGGCCUCGGUGCGCGCAUCCUGCGGGUGCGGGUUAUGGCGCGGCUCCCGAAGCUCGCAGUCUUCGAUCUGGAUUACACGCUCUGGCCGUUCUGGGUGGACACGCAUGUGGACCCCCCGUUCCACAAGAGAAGUGAUGGAACUGUACGCGAUAGGCGGGGGCAGACGGUCCGGCUGUACCCGGAGGUGCCUGAGGUCCUGGAACGGUUGCAGGGCUUGGGUGUACCCGUCGCGGCCGCCUCACGGACAGGUGAGGUUGAAGGGGCCAAUCAGCUAUUGGAGCUCUUUGACCUUGUCAGAUACUUUGUUCAUCGGGAAAUCUAUCCAGGCAGCAAGAUCACACACUUCGAGAGGUUGCAGCGGAAGACUGGAGUUCCUCUCUCCCAGAUGAUCUUCUUUGAUGAUGAGAGGCGGAAUAUUGUAGACGUCAGCAAACUGGGUACUGAGUGGUGUUACCUGCAUUCAUGUCCAGAACGGAAUGAACCUUCAGAUCCUAACCCAAGGAUUAGAGACAUUUGCAAAGGCCCAAGCUGGACUCUGAAGUCCAAUCCUGUGAAUGAACCUCAUUUGAGGCACAGAACCGCAAGAACACCAGGAGGGCAUUUUCAGCCCCCUGUACUUUGUUCAGUUUGAGCCUGUGGAAUCAAGACCUUGAAUAUCUCUUAGGAUAGCAAGUGGAACGGUGAUUAUAAAAGUGACUGAACUCUGGGAAAAAGGAGAAGGGGCCAACCCCUGAAGAAGCAAUACAGAAACUGAAGGAGACGGAGAAGAUACUGAUCAAGAAACAGGAGUUUCUGGAGCAGAAGAUUCAGCAGGAGCUACAAACCGCCAAGAAGCAUGGGACCAA